This 493-nucleotide ribosomal RNA is filed under the name uncultured bacterium. RNAcentral describes it as "bacterial SSU rRNA". It matches the Rfam family "Bacterial small subunit ribosomal RNA", at positions 15 to 518 of the family's 1533-position model. The record is from RNAcentral.
GAUCAUGGCUCAGGACGAACGCUGGCGGCAUGCCUAACACAUGCAAGUCGAACGGGGUUUAAUUGAAAGUUUACUUUCAAUUAAACCUAGUGGCGGACGGGUGAGUAACGCGUGGAUAAUCUGCCUAUUAGUCUGGGAUAACUCCGGGGAACCGGAGCUAAUACCGGAUAACAUUUUUCUCGCAUGGAGAGAAAUUAAAAGGGUUUCCGCUAAUAGAUGAAUCCGCGUCCCAUUAGCUAGUUGGUGGGGUAAAGGCCUACCAAGGCGACGAUGGGUAGCCGGCCUGAGAGGGUGAACGGCCACACUGGGACUGAGACACGGCCCAGACUCCUACGGGAGGCAGCAGUGGGGAAUAUUCCGCCAAUGGGGGAAACCCUGACGGAGCAAUGCCGCGUGAGGGACGAAGGCCUUCGGGUUGUAAACCUUUGUUUUAUGGGAAGAUAGUGACGGUACCAUAAGAGGAAGCCCCGGCUAACUACGUGCCAGCAGCGGC